GAGUUUGAUCAUGGCUCAGAUUGAACGCUGGCGGCAGGCUUAACACAUGCAAGUCGAGCGGGGGAAGGUAGCUUGCUACCGGACCUAGCGGCGGACGGGUGAGUAAUGCUUAGGAAUCUGCCUAUUAGUGGGGGACAACAUCUCGAAAGGGAUGCUAAUACCGCAUACGUCCUACGGGAGAAAGCAGGGGAUCUUCGGACCUUGCGCUAAUAGAUGAGCCUAAGUCGGAUUAGCUAGUUGGUGGGGUAAAGGCCUACCAAGGCGACGAUCUGUAGCGGGUCUGAGAGGAUGAUCCGCCACACUGGGACUGAGACACGGCCCAGACUCCUACGGGAGGCAGCAGUGGGGAAUAUUGGACAAUGGGGGGAACCCUGAUCCAGCCAUGCCGCGUGUGUGAAGAAGGCCUUAUGGUUGUAAAGCACUUUAAGCGAGGAGGAGGCUACUUUAGUUAAUACCUAGAGAUAGUGGACGUUACUCGCAGAAUAAGCACCGGCUAACUCUGUGCCAGCAGCCGCGGUAAUACAGAGGGUGCGAGCGUUAAUCGGAUUUACUGGGCGUAAAGCGUGCGUAGGCGGCUUAUUAAGUCGGAUGUGAAAUCCCCGAGCUUAACUUGGGAAUUGCAUUCGAUACUGGUGAGCUAGAGUAUGGGAGAGGAUGGUAGAAUUCCAGGUGUAGCGGUGAAAUGCGUAGAGAUCUGGAGGAAUACCGAUGGCGAAGGCAGCCAUCUGGCCUAAUACUGACGCUGAGGUACGAAAGCAUGGGGAGCAAACAGGAUUAGAUACCCUGGUAGUCCAUGCCGUAAACGAUGUCUACUAGCCGUUGGGGCCUUUGAGGCUUUAGUGGCGCAGCUAACGCGAUAAGUAGACCGCCUGGGGAGUACGGUCGCAAGACUAAAACUCAAAUGAAUUGACGGGGGCCCGCACAAGCGGUGGAGCAUGUGGUUUAAUUCGAUGCAACGCGAAGAACCUUACCUGGCCUUGACAUACUAGAAACUUUCCAGAGAUGGAUUGGUGCCUUCGGGAAUCUAGAUACAGGUGCUGCAUGGCUGUCGUCAGCGCGUGUCGUGAGAUGUUGGGUUAAGUCCCGCAACGAGCGCAACCCUUUUCCUUACUUGCCAGCAUUUCGGAUGGGAACUUUAAGGAUACUGCCAGUGACAAACUGGAGGAAGGCGGGGACGACGUCAAGUCAUCAUGGCCCUUACGGCCAGGGCUACACACGUGCUACAAUGGUCGGUACAAAGGGUUGCUACACAGCGAUGUGAUGCUAAUCUCAAAAAGCCGAUCGUAGUCCGGAUUGGAGUCUGCAACUCGACUCCAUGAAGUCGGAAUCGCUAGUAAUCGCGGAUCAGAAUGCCGCGGUGAAUACGUUCCCGGGCCUUGUACACACCGCCCGUCACACCAUGGGAGUUUGUUGCACCAGAAGUAGCUAGCCUAACUGCAAAGAGGGCGGUUACCACGGUGUGGCCGAUGACUGGGGUGAAGUCGUAACAAGGUA
Molecule: ribosomal RNA, 1494 nt
Filed under: Acinetobacter baumannii
Lineage: Bacteria; Pseudomonadati; Pseudomonadota; Gammaproteobacteria; Moraxellales; Moraxellaceae
Description: bacterial SSU rRNA
Rfam family: Bacterial small subunit ribosomal RNA
Source: RNAcentral